GAUGAACGCUGGCGGCGUGCCUAAUACAUGCAAGUCGAGCGAACAGACGAGGAGCUUGCUCCUCUGACGUUAGCGGCGGACGGGUGAGUAACACGUGGAUAACCUACCUAUAAGACUGGGAUAACUUCGGGAAACCGGAGCUAAUACCGGAUAAUAUAUUGAACCGCAUGGUUCAAUAGUGAAAGACGGUUUUGCUGUCACUUAUAGCUGGAUCCGCGCCGCAUUAGCUAGUUGGUAAGGUAACGGCUUACCAAGGCAACGAUGCGUAGCCGACCUGAGAGGGUGAUCGGCCACACUGGAACUGAGACACGGUCCAGACUCCUACGGGAGGCAGCAGUAGGGAAUCUUCCGCAAUGGGCGAAAGCCUGACGGAGCAACGCCGCGUGAGUGAUGAAGGUCUUCGGAUCGUAAAACUCUGUUAUUAGGGAAGAACAGAUGUGUAAGUAACUAUGCACGUCUUGACGGUACCUAAUCAGAAAGCCACGGCUAACUACGUG
This 497-nucleotide ribosomal RNA is filed under the name uncultured bacterium. Its description in RNAcentral is "partial 16S ribosomal RNA". It matches the Rfam family "Bacterial small subunit ribosomal RNA", at positions 28 to 507 of the family's 1533-position model. The record is from RNAcentral.